This is a long non-coding RNA of Drosophila gunungcola (fruit fly), 240 nucleotides long. RefSeq lists it as uncharacterized. Lineage: Eukaryota; Metazoa; Arthropoda; Insecta; Diptera; Drosophilidae. The record is from RefSeq and is a predicted model, not a curated record. The transcript has 2 exons.
AUAAAUACCUAUUCGGAACAUUAGACCAAGAUGAUAAAGAUGAAAUGGAAGAAAAAAUUAAUACUUUAGUAGACACUAGUGUUCAGAACAUCGAUUUAUACAUAGUCAUCGAUGUCAUAAAUAAUGGAGUUGAUGUAAUCAAUAAAUUAAAGGCAGACGGAGAAAGGGAAAAAACAAAAUAUGUAGAAGAUAUUGAAUUAGGAAUGCAGCUGACGAUUAGGUUUAUUCAAUCCAAAAUUA